Molecule: long non-coding RNA, 1455 nt
Filed under: Camelus dromedarius (Arabian camel)
Lineage: Eukaryota; Metazoa; Chordata; Mammalia; Artiodactyla; Camelidae
Description: lncRNA (ENSCDRG00005005521.1)
Source: RNAcentral
CUCCCCUGAACAUGCACUACUCACCUGUUCAACAAGUCUUUAUUCAGCAUCCACUGUGUGCCAAGCACUGUGCUGGGCCAUAGGAAUCCCAAGGUGUGGUCCCUGCUCAUAGUCUGUGGAGGAGUCAGAUACUAACCACAUAACCCACAAAAGCACAAGUGAUAACCAAUGUGGAGAGGCAUAAGGUACUGUGAGAAGGGAUAGUAGGAGGAUUUCCCCUCUAGCCAAGGAGAUCAGGAAAGGCUUUUGGGGGAAAGAGUGAGAAGGAGAAUGGAGAGAAGGGAGGGCAGCAGAAAAGUAUGUGCAAAGGCCCUGGAAUCAGGGUCCUGGCUCCCAGCCACCCUGCUCCCCCAGAAAGAAGAGGUUCCCUCCAUUCCUGCUUCUCACCUGGAUUUGAUAUGCUGCAAGGGAGGGACGCCCUGACCUGUCCCGGUCCCUGGAACGAGGAGCAUGUCUGCCUCCACGGUUGCCCGAAGUGUGUGUGAGGUCCUGCAGCUGCCUGCACACUAGGUCUCCGGUGUGCCCAUCUCACUGCUGCCCAAGGGCCAGGAGGACACCAAGUCCUCCAUUGUCUCGCUGUCCCUCACACCCCCAUGCCCUGGAGUGAGUGAGGGCUGGACACAGCUACCAGAACAGUCCCUUCUUCCCCUACUCACUGUCCUGGCCAUCCAUUCCUACUCAGCUCUAAGCCCAAACCUUUUCAAAAAUGAUGUUUUUCUCUCAACUUCUUAUUCUGAAAAUUGACAACUGAAGAGAAAAAGAGUUACACACUUACGCUGCCUGUCCUGUAUAAACUAUAUUUCAGGGUAGCCAAAUAGCUCUACGUGGCGAAGAAAACUUAUUUACAGAACUCCAGCUAAUGUAGGGGGAAUAUGCAAUUAGAAAAAUCACCAUUUUGCAACGGUUAAUGAAAUAAGGGAUCAAAGCAAGAAUUAACAAUGGAUGCAGCCAAGGAUGAUAGUUGAUGGAGAACUUUACUAUGGAGGAAUCAAGCUAUCGCUCCCUGAGCCAACUGAUGAAUCUUAGUUUCACUAAAUCAUGUACCAUGUACCUCCUGAUAUGAUGCAAUCUGAUGCACUCAGCACCACCUUUGAAGGAUUCUUACCAAAGAAACAAACCAAAAAACUGAACAUGAUUCUAAUCAAACCUCUAGAGCUAACCUCUAUUUAUUUAAUGGGAAAUGUGGUGGAUGGAGGAACAAAUUAAAUGACAUAACAAAGAAGUAAGGAAAUAUACCAGAACGUGGGACAUUCCAAAGGAAAACUGAGCUGCUUUCUUCAACUAGUCAAUGGCUGGGGAGAAAAGUGAGUGCAGACAAGAAGACAACUACUACAUGGAAUAUGUGGGCCUUCUUUGGUUCCUGACUGGGACCACCCAAUUGAAAAAAAAGAUGUUUUUAGACAGUUGGAGACAUUUAAUUAUGAACUGGGUAUUCAUGAUGCCAAGGAAUCAGUG